Molecule: long non-coding RNA, 2940 nt
Organism: Acinonyx jubatus (cheetah)
Lineage: Eukaryota; Metazoa; Chordata; Mammalia; Carnivora; Felidae
Exons: 4
Source: RefSeq, a predicted model, not a curated record
UCAUACCUCUAUUUCUUAUGACAACAACACCUAGAAGGAAUGAUUAUUCUCUCCGUGUCACAGAAGAGAAUACCGAAGAAGGCAAUGUGUCAAGGUCAUGCAGCUUGGAGGUUUGGCAGAUUCCAGAGGCUGAGCACAUCAUGCCUGUGCUGUGGAAUCACUGGCUCUGGGGAAGACAGCUGUUGUGUUGUGUUGUGGAGACACCAAAGAAGCCCCACAGAAAGGACCACGUAGCAAGGAACCAAGGCCACCUGCCAGUAGCCAGUGAGGAACUAAGUCCUCGUGCCAUGGCAGAAAUCGAUGCUGUGGAGGAAAAGAGAAAGUGUCAAUGCCGUGGGCUCCCAGCUCCUGUGUCCACAGCACUUGGGGGACAAGCUGGAAGCACGAAGAAGGAGUCAGACUCAUCUUGGAUACCUAACCCCCACAGCGCCUGGGGAGAACUGAGCCCUCCAUCACCCUGGCCCACUAGACAGAGAGGAAACAGCCCAGGGAGAUGAAAAGGGCUUCUCCAGGAGCCUCUCUGAGAUGUUUGCAAAGCUUGCAUGAAAACCCAGGCGAUGGAGCCUGGAGCUUCCUCUUCGAACACCACAGUGCUGACAAGUGCUGAGCCAGCCAUUCUGUCCUUUCCUGCUUCCCUGUCCUGUCCCUCUUCUUCAGUUCCAGCCACCAAGGACCAUUUCUAAGUCCUCCAAGGAAGAGAGAUGCAGAGACUUAGUCAUGCCGACCCAAACCUUCGCAUGGUCCCGUCCUACAAAUAGAGACCAACUGGUUCCCCAAUUAUCAGUGAGAGAACAGAGGAAACCAGAGGUGAGGGUAUCACUUCAGUUGGAGAAAUUUUUAUCCUAGGGAAUUGUUCAUAGACACUCGCCUGGUGGCAAGUAGUCCCCUGGGCCUUCUAAAAUGCCAGGGAAACUCCUGUCAAUUGGGCCUCGCUUAAGGGCUCUGCUUUCCAAAGGUGGAGAGUAAGAAGCAAAGGGAGUUUCUUCUCCGAGGGACUCUUGCUUCCUGGCCCAUCUGGCUGGGCUCAGGGUCUAGAUCCAAAGGGAAAAGGGAGCCCAGACUGAAGCUCUGGGCCCCUUUCGUAAAGAGAGAGGGGAACAGUUAAUAACCCACAAAUGACUCACAAAUAACAGGAAAGCUGUUUGCAAACAUGUAAAUGCCUAGCAGCCUCCCCCACUCCCCGCUCAGAAAGAAAGGAGCAAGAGACAGAACUCUAGCGCCUUCGGAGAGUCCUCCCGCCAGGCUGUCUCUGCUUCUCCGGGUGUGAGUGGGAAGAGGCUGCCGAGCCCCGAGGGGAAGAGCCGAUCCGCACUCACACAGCGCCGCAGUCUCAGCCGGAGGGUCUUCAGCUUUUCUCCCAGGGAGUUCACGUGCUGUUUGAUGUCCGGGUCCUCGUUCUCAGCCUGGGGCAUCACCUCCUCCAAGUAAAACUGGAUCAUCUCGGACAAGGCUUGGCAACCCAGCAAAGGAAGCAGACCCAGCUCCCGGCCUCCCUUCUCUGAGUCAGGCUGCAAGCUCGCCUCCCACACGCCCCCCCGGGCCCUCACCUUAAAGUCCUCCAGCAAGGACCUAGUCAACAAUAUGCUGUGCAGCUCGUCCUUGGUUUGCUGCAAGAAGAACAAAAGGAGAGUGAGCCCGAGGUUUGAGGAAAUAACUGAAAUAAAUGUCUUUCUGAUGCCCUCUUAUUUAUAGAGCUUCUGAGUUUUCAUUAGUGCAGGAAAGGAGAUUUUCAAAACAAGGACAUUCAACAGUGCUGGAACCCUUAGUUAAAUCGGGUCCCUUAGUUACAUCAGGAUCAAGUUAUUUUUAAAAUUCGGCCAGGUUUUGAAGCCAAGGCCGAAGCUUGACUCGGUCCUGCUCUCCUUUCUGCAGAGCUGGAUCGGGUUCAAAGGGGCCACCCACACCCACUUAAGUGCUCUUUGCUGUUCUUUUCUCCUCGCUGCGGACAUCCAGCGGCAGCUUUGAAAGCCGUCUGGAGAUGGGAUGCAUCUCAUGCAGGUUUCCCCUCUGUACGGCUCUUGCCCAAGCCAUCAGGCUUUGCCUGGUUCUGGAAGCCCGCUCGGCUGAGGCCAUUUAUGUUUCCCUGCCACAAGGUUUGGGGGACAUCUUCAUCUUCAGUCGGACCCUUUGUGAUUUCUCCCAUGUCUCUAAGCAUAGGAGUCCCAGUGCAUUUGCCUGGGAGGUGGCUUUUCCCCCCCGCACAUUUGUUGCAUCACCUGGGCUUAGCUUAACUCACUCCAUCUAGGGCUCGACCUGGGACUCCUUAAGAAUUGAAGUCUGAGGGGAAUGGAUCCCGGGGAUGGAGGUGAAUGAGAAGGAGGGUUCUUGGAGCUCCAGCAGAAUGCCUGGCUGAGGUGGUCCCGGCAAGGAAGGAAGGACAGGAGGGCAUUCAUACUCACAAAGAACGUCUUCACCUUGCCGAAGGCAGCUCGGAGCUCUCGGAGCAUGUGGGGCAGGCUGACUGAGAAGUGGGUGCAGUUGUCCUCAGACAGGGUGCUCUGGUGUCGGCUGGCUCCUACCCCGGCCAGGAAGACCAGGAAACACAGAAGUGCUGGGCUGGGCAUGGCGAAGCUCUGCCUUCUGAGAGUUGGCCUUGUGGUUUGGUGUCACAAGAGAGAGCCCCUGGUGUGCAGACCUUCACCUACUGUGUCCCCCUUUUAUAUUGUGGGUUCGGCGAGGCCUCCCCAUUCAUAAAAAGCCACAGUCACAGGUUUCCUGGCAAACAGCCCCUCCCUUCCCUCGAGCUCUCCAACUUUGCAUUCGCUGAACUUAAAGUUGUUAAUUUUUUUUUUUUUUUGCAUCGUAAGCAACACGGAUUGUUGAAUAAUGAGCUUUUGCAUUACAGCUAUUUUUAGGACGAGCUACCUCUCUCUCUCUCUCUCUCUGUUUUAAAAUAACUUUCCAGCUUUUCUUAAUAAAAAAAGAAGUUGAUUUCCUGGG